Monodelphis domestica (gray short-tailed opossum) is the source of this 6362-nucleotide long non-coding RNA. RefSeq lists it as uncharacterized. Lineage: Eukaryota; Metazoa; Chordata; Mammalia; Didelphimorphia; Didelphidae. The record is from RefSeq and is a predicted model, not a curated record.
CUUUACCAUCUACUCUGCCAUUAUAUUAUCUAGCUUACUGAAUGUCACCAUCUGACUUGCCACUGCAACCUCUAGAUUCCCAAGAAAUGUCACUUGGCAUGCUGACAAACACUAAGGACUUUGGGGCUUUACUAUCAGUCCUCUUGCUCAACCUUCAGGAUUACUAGGCUUUUCUAUCAGUCAUACUCCUCCCAUAUGAAUUGUCUUCCCCCCCAAUUAAAAUAUGAGAGCAAGAACUAUCUCACUUUUCUAUUUGAAUCCCCAGCACUUAGCACGGUGUUUUGUACAUAGUAAGCUCUUAAUAAAUGCAUUUUCAUUCAUUUACUCAUUCACUUACAAAUGAGGAAACCUGCUCAGAAGCAUUGGCAUUCAUGAUUAAAGACUAUAGGCAAGGCUUUCAAUUCAGUCUGCUAAGAGAAAAAAAAAGCAUCAACGAAUGAAUGAAUGAUCAAGUUUUUAUUAAGCAUUUACUAUAUACAAAUCACUGUAUUGAACACCGAAGAAGCAAGUAGAAACGAAAAACUGUACUUGACUCUCAAGGAACUUACAUUCAAAUCAUGGAAAUCCAUAUAUAUGAGGAGUUUCCAUUUUAAAUAGCAUGGAAACUCCCAGCAGUCCUUGAGGUAAAACAGCAAAACAAAUCAUAAUAUAUCUUAAAAAACAAACAAACAAACAAACAAACAAACCAAAAAACCUUACCUUCCAUCUUAUUGAUUCCAAGGCAGAAAAGUGGUAAUGGCUAGGCAAAGGAGGUUAAGUGACUUGCCCUGGGUCACACAGCUGGAAAGUAGCUGAGGUCAGAUUGGAACAGAGGACCUCCUGACUCUGAGAAGGCUUGGCUCUCAAUUCACUGCACCACCUAGCUGCUGCCAUAAUAUCUUUAAAAUGUUAUUUCAAUUAACAAAACCAUAUCCAUUCCUGCUUUUGAACUAUUUGACAGUGCCAAGAACCUUGGUAUAAGAACCGUUUUUUCCAGGUCUUCAGAAGCUGUGGCUGCUAAAGAAGCAAUACCAGAAAGAACCGCUAUAGAAGACAUCACCAGUUCAUAUCUCCCCAAGGGUGAUGUCAUAGCCAAGUUUUGAAUCUCCCUAAUACCGCCAUACACAUUGGCCUCAUUUACACUAUGGGUCUAUAGAGUUACAGAAUGACAGAAAUGGAAAAGACUUCAAAGGUCACCCAGACCAUCGCCUUCACUAUUAGGAAAUUGUGAGCAAGAGAAGUUUGCCUCAGUUUCCUCAUCUGUCAAAUGAGCUGGAGAAGGAAAUGGCAAGCCACUCCAGUAUCUUUGCCUAGAAAACCCCAAAUGGGAUCCCGAAGAGUCAGAGACAACUGAAAAUGACUCAACAACAACAAACAAGGUGACUUACUUAUUGUUUUAUUAGAUGAUAAACUGUUUUACCCUUUUGAGGAGAAAUGUACUGAGGUGAAUUCCCUUUUCUUAGGCUGGGAGAUGCUUACAAUGGAGUCUGUCAGGCUACAGGUGAAUUGAUUCUACUUUAAUCUUGGUUCAGCCCAAUUUAUGCUAUGGAAUCCAAUGGAAUACUAAUGGAGGUAGGAUGUUUGAGGGUAGUUCAGGGAGGAAAUUUUUUUAUUAUGCCUCUUGUUUUGCAAAUUAGCUUCAGAGAUAGGAAGACCAGGGUUCAUGUCCUAUUUCUGACACACACAGUCUAUGUGACUCUGGGCUAGUCAUUUAACCUUAGUGACUUAGGCAAUUUUCUCAGACUAUUAGGUGCAGAGAACAAGCCUUAGAUUUGUGAAAUCAGAGCUCCAGUUCUAUCCCUCUCCCUCUUUUCUGUAGGGGUAGGGAGAAGGGAAUUCUGGGAGUACCCGGUUUAAGAACUAAAAGGAGGAUUAAAUUUUGAGGCAAGAAUGAUUUGGAAAUAUCUGAAGAAAUGGAAACCCAUGAGAGAUUCCCUCCCUAUUAGAACCUGUAGUACCUCAGAGCUCAUCUAGGCCAUGCCAUGUAUAAAGAAGUUGGUCCUUGAAAGUCUAGGACUAAAUCACAGAAAAGCAGUUUGUAAUGACGAGUUGAACUAAAUAUUACCUAAAUGUAACCAAUGCUGGGUGGCUUCUUUAUAAGGUUCAAACAAAUCCCUUGAGUAUGUUAAGAAGGAGCAAUAUCAUUGGGAGAACAAUGACUGGGCCCCCCACAGUGACCCUUAAAAGACACAAAUUGAGUCAGUUUGAGAUAGUUGAGUCAAGAAUCAGAAGUUGUGGAAGAAUCCAACUCUACUUCCUGAGGAUGGGGAUAGGAGGGAAUUUUCUGUCUUCUAUCCCCUAUCCCCCGUACCAAUUGACAAAGCUGAGCUCAUUGCAUCAGAGACAUCCUAUCCAGCAUUUUGAAAGUCAGGAAAAGAGAGUAUGAGGCAUAGUUGGGGAGGUUGAGCUAUCUACUCCAGGUAGACACAAAUAUAUAAAGACAGUUACUUAAGAAAAGAAAAAACUUAGGGGGCAGCUGGGUAGCUGAGUGGAUUGAGAGCCAGGCCUAGAGAUGGGAAAUCCUGGGUUGCAUAUGUACCCUGUUGGGUUCUGAGACUACAAAAAUGAUGGUCUACACGGUCCCUGACAUCAAGAAGUUUAUUGUUUAUAUACAAACUGUGUAAAGGAAACUAGACUAACAGUUUGUGUGGGGGAAGGGCCAACUGGGAGUGGCUGUUGGGUCUUGUGACUAGCACUUCCUUCCUGCCGGGGGAGGACUUGCGUCCUGGUGUUGGAGGAGAGAGGAGCUUGUUCAGCCCAGUCUGGAGUGGCAUGCUCUUCUUGGUUCAGCCCAAAGACACAGGCUUCUAAAGGAAGUGGCAAUAAUCCACUGUAGAUCACACACAGGGGCUAAUGAUCAUGUGUCUUUAGGAAACCAUAGAGCUGACAUUACAGCAAAAUUUGGAGCUAGAGAAGGACCUUUUCAUGUAUUGAAUUUCUCAAUAGUUGAACAGGACAAUCUAACUGAUGCCUAUAAUGAAAUGAGCAGGAAAUUCAAUCAUGGAUAAAGAACUUAGGAGCAAAACAAAUAAGAGGAAUAUGGUUUUCACAACUAGGCAAGCCCAUCCUGCCUAAAAAUUUAUUUUAUCACCUGUGCAAUGCAAUACAUGCACAAGGAUACUGUGGAACCCAAGCUGUGAUCGAUUCAGUGAGACGAUCUUGGACUGCACCAGGAAUAUCCUCAUAUGCCAUAAGAAUUUUGUCAAAAAUGUAAAAUUUGUAUGCAAUUCAAUCAGGGAGUUUAUAAGACCAAAGGCGUAGGAGGUCAUCCCUUAGCAUAUACUCCAUUUGAAUGCAUAUAGAUAGAUUUUAUCAAUAUGCCAAAAGACAAAGGGUUUAAGUAUUGCCUUGUCAUCAUAGACAGACUGAUUAGAUGGCCAGAAGUUUUUCCUUCCAAAAAGAACAAUGCAGCAUUUGUGGUCAAAAUCCUAUUAAAAGAAAUCAUACCUAGAUUUGGGAUUCCCUCAAAAUUGGACUCAGACUGUGGAAGUCACUUUACUCAGUCAAUAUUAAAUGAAAUUUAUAAAAAUCUAGGAAUACAAGCAACAUACCACACACCAUAUCAUCCCCAAAGUUCAGGGCAAGUGGAAAGAUUAAAUAAAGACAUUAAAACAUUGAUAGGAAAAUUUUGUGCAGAAACACACCAAAAAUGGACAAACAUUCUGCCAUUAGUUCUGUUCCAUCUUAGAACACGACCCAGUGGAGAUUUGCACAUCUCUCCAUUUGAGAUGCUAUAUGGACAUGCAAUUUGGCAAGGAAGGACUUGUAAACCAGCUUACAUUGCCAUGAUAGGUGGAGAUUGUCAAUUAACAAAAUAUAUACAAGCUUUACAGACAAGAAUGGCAGAAUUGCAUGAAAUGGGCUUGAUACAACAAACAGUACCCCUGGAUUACAAUUUGCACAACAUCAAAGCAGGAGACAUAGUAUACUUAAAAAAUUUCAAUAGAAAAUUGGCUACAGACAUAAAAUGGACUGGACCACAUGAAGUAUUGCUUACUACCCCAACAUCUAUAAAAGUUGCAGGGAAAGACUCAUGGUUUCACUGUUCCCACAUGAAACCAGAAAAAGUUCAACACCAUUGUAACAGACAUCGAAGAUAAUUAGACAACAGAAGUGCUGAGAAAUGAAAACAAAAACUGAUUAACAUAAAAGCACAUCAUAAAGAAAUAAUAGUGACACAUAAUGUUUGAGACAACUUUCCAGCCCAGAGGAAAAGCAGCCCAGAGGAAAAGCAACCCAGAGGAAAAGCAUCCCAGAGGAAAAGCAACCCAGAGGAAAAGCAACCCAGAGGAAAAGCAUCCCAGAGGAAAAAAAUUAAACCACCCUGAGGAAAAGCAUCAAGAAAAGAUGCUAGAGACAAGAAACAAAGAGGAAAAGCUGAAAUGGACAGCUAAGACUUUGAACUUGUAAAUUUGUUUAUAUUAGAGGACAGAUGGAAAACGAGACUUAUAUGUAAGACUGAGUGUGUUGAAAUAAUAAAACAAAAGUAAUUUCACAUUUAGGGAAAUAGCAUGCAUCACUACAUAACAUGGAAGAAAGAAGAGAUCCAUCAGUCAACAUGAGAAGUGGAAAUCUGAAGAAACUUGAUAAGUAUUAUUUCAACACAACACUAUUAGACACAAAACACAAAAUCACUAACAUAUUGAGAGACCUUGUUUAUAUAAACAAGUGUCUGAAAUUGUAUUUAUGCAAACUGUAAAUAUGUAUAUAGUUAGUUCCAUAAGGUCUUAGGCAAAUAGAAAGAUGAAUAGAUAUUUCUAUUUGACUGACAUCAUGAUGUGGAACAAUGUGUAUUGUUGUAUGAUAUGUAAAUAAUUUCUAUAAAUAGUAUAUUAGUUUUAGUUAACGUAGAGUAAGUAGUAUUAGCACUAAGAUUCAAAUUCCUUGUAAUAGUUUUGUUCAACAUUUAUUGUACUGAAUUUAUUGUAAAACCCCCAAACUACCCUUGCCUGAAUUUUCCUGCUAAGAAUUCCUUAGAGUAGAUUUAGUAAUUUGGUAACUAUAAUAUAAAUAUGUGACCUCAGGAAGGUCACAACAAAAAAAGGGGACGAUUGUGGAAAGGAAACUAGACUAACAGUUUGUGUGGGGGAAGGGCCAACUGGGAGUGGCUGUUGGGUCUUGUGACUAGCACUUCCUUCCUGCCGGGGGAGGACUUGCGUCCUGGUGUUGGAGGAGAGAGGAGCUUGUUCAGCCCAGUCUGGAGUGGCAUGCUCUUCUUGGUUCAGCCCAAAGACACAGGCUUCUAAAGGUUAGAAUUGUUCUUGUUUGCUUUCUGUCUACUGCUAAGAUUCUGAAUUAGAACAAUGAGAGUAGAAUGAGUGGGACAAACCCUCCGCCAGCCUCUAGGGCCUGGCCCUAUACUCUGAAGCUAAGGAAAAACUCCAAUUCUAACUGGAUUAUUAAACUUUAUAUUAUUUGAAUUCACAGUCAGAUAAGUGGACUAUCUUUUCUGGUCAUAGAGGGAGCUGAACUUCAGUUUCAGUCAUUCAAAGACAAACCGUCCUUAUUGGACCUCUGCUGUUUCCUCUCAGCAGGGGGCAUCUCCCUCCCUUGCAUCACCAAGCAGUAUUCCCUCUCUCCCCUCAACUACUCCAUACCCUGAUACAAACCUCCCAUUAUCCCCCUGUUUUCCAAUCUUCCUAUUUCCUUUCCCAAUAAAUAUUACAAAAACGCACCUGGAGCACAUCCAUUUGCUUGAUUCCCCUCCCUGCCACCACCAAGGAAAAGCUAUUCCAGGGUCAGGUUCCCUGAUUUAAGCCCUAGCUCACAAACCCCCAUUACUGGGUUUAGUUUUAUUUGCCAAGAAGAUGACAUAUGAGUCCAAAGAGAAAGAUAUUUCAUCAGUAAGCAAAGUAAAUAGAAUGAUGAGAAAAGUGGACACAAAAGAUACAGUCCUCUAUAAGUUACCUCAAUACUAAUAUGGAAGCAAAUUUGACAGCAGAGGGAACAUAUAUGGAGGGUAUAAAUGUCUCGAUAUAUUACAGAUAGAGAUAUAUAGGCAAGAAAUGCAUAUGGCUAGGGAAUAUUAGUGAAGAACACAAGCCAGAAAUGCAUGUGACUAGGACAUAUUAAUCAAGGGCAUACACAUUGGGGAUAUGUGUGGCCAGGGUAACUCACUCCUCUAAUGUCACAGGACUUCUGAUGUCUUCUAGUGUCACCAUGAUGCUUUCCACUGGAUGUUAGAUAUCUACUUUCAUUCUCAUUCUCUCCCUGGCUCUGUUCUAGACUUUCUGGAUUUUCGAAUCAUACCCUGGCCCCAAUAUCUUCAACCCUCCCAAUCACUGUUUCAGCUUCUUCUUGUGCAUUGUCUUCUCCUUGAGGGCAGGAAUGGUUUUUAUUUUUGCUUGUAUUGGUAUCCCCAACACUUAACACAAAGUACUUAA